This 464-nucleotide ribosomal RNA is filed under the name uncultured bacterium. Its description in RNAcentral is "partial 16S ribosomal RNA". It matches the Rfam family "Bacterial small subunit ribosomal RNA", at positions 29 to 507 of the family's 1533-position model. The record is from RNAcentral.
ACGAACGCUGGCGGCGUGCUUAACACAUGCAAGUCGAACGGAAAGGCCCCUUUGGGGGUACUCGAGUGGCGACCGGGUGAGUAACACGUGAGUAACCUGCCCUUGACUUCGGGAUAACUUCAGGAAACUGGGGCUAAUACCGGAUAGGAAUCCUUGCUGCAUGGUGGGGGUUGGAAAGCUUCGGCGGUUUUGGAUGGACUCGCGGCUUAUCAGCUUGUUGGUGGGGUAGUGGCUUACCAAGGCUUUGACGGGUAGCCGGCCUGAGAGGGCGACCGGCCACAUUGGGACUGAGAUACGGCCCAGACUCCUACGGGAGGCAGCAGUGGGGAAUAUUGCACAAUGGGCGGAAGCCUGAUGCAGCAACGCCGCGUGCGGGAUGACGGCCUUCGGGUUGUAAACCGCUCUCAGCAGGGGCGAAGCUUGUGGUGACGGUACCUGCAGAAGAAGCACCGGCUAACUACGUG